RNAcentral lists this long non-coding RNA (1167 nucleotides) under Anas platyrhynchos platyrhynchos (common mallard). RNAcentral describes it as "lncRNA (ENSAPLG00000025791.1)". Lineage: Eukaryota; Metazoa; Chordata; Aves; Anseriformes; Anatidae. The record is from RNAcentral.
ACCCUUCUCUGUCCGUCGGCCUGUCCUGCCAACUCUGGUGUGAGUGUGAAGCUGUGGCAAGAGGGGUUUCCCAUUCCUACUGGACCUGGUGGACACCAGCUUUCCUAGGAAAUUGCUGAUGUUGCUGAGGAGGCAGCAGUAUCAAAGGCCUUGUUGAUGAAGGUACAACAAGCUGGGGAGGCUUUGGCAUUUCUGCACAAUGCUGCUCCCUGAUUGUCACUCCAGACUCAGAUUCGGAAAGAAGCAAAGCAAGCCAGAGGAAAACUGGAUGUCCAGUAUCCAAAACUCCGUAUCACAGCGGAUCUUCUCCUCUGAUCCAAAAAGCUUCACAGGCCAAAAGAGAAUUGAGAUGAAGAAGGCAAUAGAGAAUGCAGACCAAUACUUCCAAUUACCACCCCAACUUCUGUCUUGGCUCUUCACAUCCAGCCAGAGCAGUUUCUUUGCCUCCGCAACCUGCAGGCUGUCCUCGCGUGUGUACCUGUGGUGGACUGAGGGUAUGAGGUGAAGAAGAACACUGAAACCAGCUGAAGCCGUAUCGGCCACAUGCUUCUGCUCGGAAGUAAUUCAGAGUGAUUCCAUGGUGUACUUUAGACAGAUUUCCUCUGGUCCUCUGGACUCAGCAUCCCCAAGGGAUCUUUCAAAGCUCUCUGAAGGACCUGUCAUUAUCUCUGACACUGCAGUCUCGAUUAGGAAGGGGUAAAUAUUCCUUGCCCUUGUGCAAAGGAACUACUCAGUCAGCUGUUUCUAACCCAAAUCUCUUUGUUGUCUUCUGUUGACAGACACCACCCGGCUAGCCAAGCUAACCCAUUGAAAAAGGAAGGAGUGGGACUACUUCCAAACCCUGCUGCCGCUUCUAAGCAGAACUGCGCUGUAGGUGGGGACACAGCAAGAGGACACGUCCAGGCCACGGUGGAACUGCAAGGCACCUGUCUGAGCCACAGAAGGAAGUCAGCGCUUCCCAGUUGAAGACUGUUGCUCGACCAGUGACACAGCAGCUGGAGCGCUUCUGGUUGCUGCUGAUGGGUUCCCGUGACUCAGCCAGGGAUAGGAGCUAUGAGAACGACUGAAGCGAUUUGAAGUUGCCCGAAAGAAAGAAGAGAGGAGAGAAGAAGACAAGCGGGGAGGGGAGGGAAUAAAAAGAAGGGAGGGGAGGGAAUAAAAAGAAGG